Molecule: long non-coding RNA, 2928 nt
Organism: Papaver somniferum (opium poppy)
Lineage: Eukaryota; Viridiplantae; Streptophyta; Magnoliopsida; Ranunculales; Papaveraceae
Exons: 7
Source: RefSeq, a predicted model, not a curated record
CCUUUAUCCUCUCCAUUUCACCCUUCAUGUCGAUCUGAAGAAACAGCUCUGCCAUUAAUCUCUUCUGCUACUGUUAAGAUAGAUGAAUCUACCCUAAUACCUAUUUCGACGGUAAUGAUGAAAACCUUACCCUUAUUUUUAUCGCCCAUAUACAGCUUCUCUUCCUCUUUACUCUCUUUCUCUUCUUCUACGAUCCAACUCCAACUCCACAUCCACAACCCAUAAUCCUUAUUCUUGAGCACCACUAGCACUAAUUCAACCGCCACUAGGACUAGCUUCUUCUUCUUCUUAGAACUCGAUCUCUUGUUGAAUCUCUUUAGUUGAAACCGUAUUUCUAUUUGUUAUCUAGGGUUUCAAUUAUGGAGAUGAGCAAGAGAUUACUUUGAUUGAUCUACAGGAGGAUUCAAAUUGAAAAACACAUGUAACAAACCAUUUCCCAAUUUAAAGUCGUUCUUAAUCAGUUGAUAGAAGACUUUCAGGUUCAGUGGCUUCAAUUUUAAUUUCAGAUGCAGGAACUCCCAUAGGUAUUUCAAUUUGUGAACCUUAUCCCUUUGCCUUAGGAAACUAUAGAGUUUUUGAUGUUGAGAUUUCUGCGGAAGUAUAGCUACUCUCAUGCCUUCAGGGACGUAAUGUUAUAAGAGAACAAAGCUUUGGUGCACCUAAAGUGACUAAAGAUGGUAUCACCGUUGCUGGAAGCAUUGAGUUUAAGGAUAGAGUUAAGAACAUUGGUGCCAGCCUUGUAAAGCAAGUAGCAAAUGCCACCAACAAUAUAGCUGGUGAUGGUCUAUUGUGACAUUCAUUACAUCAUUUGUCAAUGUCUCUGUUGGUACUUAAGAGUAUAGUUCUGACUUUGUACCAAUUGAUGAAGGAAACUACACUAUUGAAACUCAGAAGCUGAAAUGGAAAACAACAUCAGAAAAAACCAGUUCACAAAUAUUGUGGCUGGUGUCGUUGGUGGAUGACCUGCUCUUUUAAGUCAAUUUACAAAGGCAAAACAGGGAUUGUGGAUUACAAAAACUAUGAUGAGAUGAAGUAUGUUGUAAGUACAGGAUCAAAUGCUUACAAUGACUAUGUAGGCAAUGAAGUUGAUGCUCAAUUAGCCUCGAGGAGGUCAACAUUGAUGGAGCUAGUUCAGAUGGAAUGCCAACUCCAAGGUACUAUAUUUUCAAAGUAUGGUGGUGCAUCCUUUGGUGGCACUACUUAGCUUGUGUGCAUUAUAGCUGAAGUAUGUUCAACACUCAUUUAACUUUCAGCUUUCAAGGUUUUUCGUACCUUGUCCUUAAUAUUGUAUGUAUCCUCACCUAGAUCACUUCAUUUUAUCAUUUUCCAGCCGAGGAUGGUUACAACUGAUCUUCUUAUGUGUAGGGCCAUGAUGAAGUAGGUCGAAUACAGAACUUUCUCCACUUGAUCUUUCUCAGAGGAUCUUAAUCUUGAGACUGACCCAUAUCCUCUAUUGCAGGCUAAGUUUUUCAUUAACAUCCUUGCAGAACCAACUGAAGUGGUAGGAUUUUAGCACCACCUCUCUAAACAAUAUUGAAGUUAAUAUGUCAAAAUGUGUUCAUAAAUAGGUUUUGUCCUUAAUAUCUUUUUGGUUCAUCUUUCUAGAAUGCAGCGUACAUACCAUAAGAUACCACAGUUGAUACUUAAAUCAUACACUAGUCAUCCAUUCAAAUUCUGAUACUUGGAUGUUGUGUGCAUUUAUUUCAUUUUGUUGGCUUAGGGAUAACAGAUACACAAGUUUGUCGGAUAGUCUGGUGGUGGACGACACCAGGCACUUGUCACCUUUAAAUGGCUCAUUUUUCUCUUGAAAAAUCAUUUAUGACUUUACCUUUAUACAAACUAGCAAACAUAUGUCUCUCUUUCUGUAUGUAUGUGAUCAUCAGUGGAAGUAAUUUCUGUUAUGUUCUUUACUGGUCUCCUGCAGGUUAUGGAAUGUUCUUUUCCCAACAUCAGAUCCAUCCCUACCUACGAAGCCCACUUACAUUUAUUUCCUCAUUGGUUUAAAAGCAUGCUCCCAGAUAUCUCAGUUAAGCACGUUUUGUGUUGUUAUAUUAUGUUUGAUUACAACACCAACUUAUGCAGUUUUCUUAUAUUUCAAUACUUGUUAGUUAUUAUGUAAAGGUUUUAUGUUGGAGAUGGCAAAGAAGCAAGUCUCUAAAGGUGCCGAAGGAGCACACUUCAACAUCAGUGCAUUAAAUAUCUUGGACGAUAAUUUUUUCGCUGCCAUUUGACAUGCAAUUAAAUUCACAUAGUUGGCCUUCUGUUAGAGUCUACAUUGUAAUCGUAUUUCCGACAUGUUUAUGAUCUGAAGACCUGGUCGUUUAGGACAUGUACCUGAUCAUCAUAUACAACAAAAUACACAUAUAACUGCAGUGAUUAAAUUGCAAACUGUCAAGUUGUUCUAAGGUUUUAUGCUCAGCUUCCUCAUAAUGUACUAUUCUGAUACAGAACCAUUUUUUCUACUUAUCCAUUCAUAAGACUCAUAUAAUAGACUAUACUAUGUUCUGUGGCCACUGCCAACCAUAAUGAUAAAAACCCAUUCUUGUUGCGUUUAAAGAAUAUGUGCAAGGAGGGUGCUAAUUGGAACAAGUCUGUGUACAUCUGCAGAUGAUUUAUGCAGAGUUAUUCCUUAGACAUAAUUUGUCAUGAUCUUACAUGCAUUACUUUAUCAUCAGUAGAAAUGCAUAAAUGCACAAGUUGAUCGACUGAUAUUGCACUUUGCAGGCUGUAGAUGAGAGUUUAUUGGAAUGGAGGGGGUCCGUGGUACCAGUGAUUGGUCAAGUGAUACACUUAUUCAAGUCCCUAUUUUUUUUAGGUAAUAGAUGAAGUGACUUGUGUGUCUGAAUAUGUAAUUUCUUCCACCGCCAAAAUCUUGCAUGAUUUAUGUCCAUUUUUUGUUUUAGAAUGAAGCUGUUCUGUUCGCUUUUA